GACGAACGCUGGCGGCGUGCCUAAUACAUGCAAGUAGAACGCACAGUUUAUACCGUAGCUUGCUACACCAUAAACUGUGAGUUGCGAACGGGUGAGUAACGCGUAGGUAACCUGCCUGGUAGCGGGGGAUAACUAUUGGAAACGAUAGCUAAUACCGCAUAAUAUUGAUUAUUGCAUGAUAAUUGAUUGAAAGAUGCUAUUGCAUCACUACCAGAUGGACCUGCGUUGUAUUAGCUAGUAGGUGAGGUAACGGCUCACCUAGGCGACGAUACAUAGCCGACCUGAGAGGGUGAUCGGCCAAACUGGGACUGAGACACGGCCCAGACUCCUACGGGAGGCAGCAGUAGGGAAUCUUCGGCAAUGGACGAAAGUCUGACCGAGCAACGCCGCGUGAGUGAAGAAGGUUUUCGGAUCGUAAAGCUCUGUUGUAAGAGAAGAACGGGUGUGAGAGUGGAAAGUUCACACUGUGACGUUAUCUUACCAGAAAGGGACGGCUAACUACGUG
This 505-nucleotide ribosomal RNA is filed under the name uncultured bacterium. RNAcentral's name for it is "partial 16S ribosomal RNA". It matches the Rfam family "Bacterial small subunit ribosomal RNA", at positions 28 to 507 of the family's 1533-position model. The record is from RNAcentral.